UGAGGAAUACAUGGGAAUCUGCCCAGUCGUGGGGGAUAACGUAUGGAAACGUACGCUAAUACCGCAUGCGCCCUUCGGGGGAAAGUCGGGGACCGCAAGGCCUGACGCGAUUGGAUGAGCCCAUGUCGAUUAGCUAGUUGGCGUGGUAACGGCCCACCAAGGCGACGAUCGAUAGCUGGUCUGAGAGGAUGAUCAGCCACACUGGAACUGAGACACGGUCCAGACUCCUACGGGAGGCAGCAGUAGGGAACAUUGGACAAUGGGGGCAACCCUGAUCCAGCCAUGCCGCGUGAGUGAAGAAGGCCCUCGGGUUGUAAAGCUCUUUUGUUGGGGAAGAAAAGCAGUUGGUUAAUACCCGAUUGUUCUGACGGUACCCAAAGAAUAAGCACCGGCUAACUUCGUG
Molecule: ribosomal RNA, 403 nt
Filed under: uncultured bacterium
Lineage: Bacteria
Description: bacterial SSU rRNA
Rfam family: Bacterial small subunit ribosomal RNA
Source: RNAcentral